Molecule: ribosomal RNA, 468 nt
Filed under: uncultured bacterium
Lineage: Bacteria
Description: partial 16S ribosomal RNA
Rfam family: Bacterial small subunit ribosomal RNA
Source: RNAcentral
GACGAACGCUGGCGGCGUGCUUAACACAUGCAAGUCGAACGGAAAGGCCCUGCUUUUGUGGGGUGCUCGAGUGGCGAACGGGUGAGUAACACGUGAGUAACCUGCCCUUGACUUUGGGAUAACUUCAGGAAACUGGGGCUAAUACCGGAUAGGAGCUCCUGCUGCAUGGUGGGGGUUGGAAAGUUUCGGCGGUUGGGGAUGGACUCGCGGCUUAUCAGCUUGUUGGUGGGGUAGUGGCUUACCAAGGCUUUGACGGGUAGCCGGCCUGAGAGGGUGACCGGCGACAUAGGGACUGGGAUCCGGCCCAGACUCCUACGGGAGGCAGCAGUGGGGAAUGUUGCACACUGGGCGGAAGCCUGAUGCAGCAACGCCGCGUGCGGGGUGACGGCCUUCGGGUUGUAGCCCGCUUUCGCCUGUGACGAAGCGUGAGUGACGGUAAUGGGUAAAGAAGCACCGGCUAACUACGUA